This 1069-nucleotide long non-coding RNA is filed under the name Homo sapiens (human). Its description in RNAcentral is "HSALNT0066857". The record is from RNAcentral. Lineage: Eukaryota; Metazoa; Chordata; Mammalia; Primates; Hominidae.
GCGGCUCUCACAUGUUACUUGAGUUUUACCCAGCAGGUGGGAAGUCCAGAAGGCUGACUCGGUCUCUAAAAUGCAGCAGAACCUGUGGCGACCACAGCCACCCAACAGCAAAAGAGGCAGCAGAGGCUGGGUGAGCACAGGACUGAGAAUUCAUGGAGAAAGUUCUUGAAUUUAAGGGAGAGGUGAGACCAUUUAAUUGGCCAAAAAGGCCCAACUCUAAGAGCCGACCUGCAAGAAGCCAGCCCGGCAGCUUCUCCCAUCACCACUCCCAGCUGCAGGUGGGCUGCCUGCUGUCCUUACCUCCCAGACAAGGGGGAUCAUGUCCUCCUUGGGGUCACCGUGGACCAGUGCGCACUUCUGUGGCCUGUUUUGCUCGCUGCACUUACCUACUGUGACACCACUGUUGCCGACACAGCCACCUCCGUGCGGGGGGUCCCUGGGGCAGACGCCCUGCUAUCCUCAUCUUAGGAUACCCAGUUCCCAACACAGUGCCUGCUGCAAAUUAUCAGUAAUAACAACCCUGAACUCUCCUCUCUACACCAUCGCAUGUCAGUGGAACUAUAAGCCUCAAGACCUGAGUUCAAGUUCGUCCUCUGCCACUUACUAAUGUGAUCUUGGCAAGUCACGUAUUCUCUCUGGGGCUCAUUCUCUGCAUCUGUAAAAUGGGGAUUAAAAACUCUGUGUCCCGCCUGAUUAAUUCUCUAUGACUUGGGAGUCUUCUGGCCAACCUCACUCUGAAAACGUCACCAGACCAAAGAUACAUGGAGCAGUUGGCCUCCUUUAUAGGACGCUGUCCCGCUGGGAGAUGGGAGAAAGAGGGGUACAGUGCCACCUUGGUGAGGUGGGACAGGAACCGGCUGGGCUGUCUGGCUGACUUACGUGCCGAAGCAGCUCUGCUGGAGUCCUGAGCAAUCUUCCCACUCCUUCCAACUCAAUUUGUCCGGCUGACGUCUAAGUUCUCUUUUAGCCCUAAAAGUCUCUGAAUCUAGAUCUUAGAAGCCAGUUCCCUCCACGACUGUCGCCUAUUCACUUUACCUCUGUAAAUGCCAUUUCCCCUUCUGCAAAAGCC